Molecule: ribosomal RNA, 1891 nt
Filed under: Triticum aestivum (bread wheat)
Lineage: Eukaryota; Viridiplantae; Streptophyta; Magnoliopsida; Poales; Poaceae
Description: partial small subunit ribosomal RNA
Source: RNAcentral
GCCACACCCCACCCGCGCGACGUGCUGCCGGCCGCCGUCUUCCCCCCUCGACGCCGCGGCCCACCCAACCGUUGGACCGGAAUAUUCCGCCUCCCGCGAGGGACGCGCCCCCUUGCCCCGCCGCACCACGCUAGCUAGGGUUCGCUCCCUCUCCCCCUCCCCGCCUCCGCGCCGCCGACGCCGACGGCGAUGGCGCAGCGCUGGCGCUCGAAGGCGCGGCGCGACCCGGACCUGGACGACGCCGGCUCGCCCUCUCCCGCGCGGCCCCGCGCGCCCCCCAGCGACGACGAGGACGAGGCGGGCAACGAGGACCUCACCCUCGAGAUCGUCGCGCGGGCGCGGCGGCGCGGGGCCGCGGGAGGCCAGCCCGGGCUCGCCGAGGUGCUCCCCCUGUCCUCCGACGAGGAGGUGGACGAGGACGCCGUGGUGGAGCUCGGCGAGGCCGACCCCAGCAGGAGGAAGGACAAGAAGAAGAAGCAGCGCCGCAAGGAGAGGAGGAAGAAGCAGCGCAAGGAGGACGCCGCCGCCGCCGCCGCCGCCGACAAGGAGGAGCCUCAGGUUGCUGGCGCCCAGGAGGGACAAACUGGGACAGUGGAAUCAGUGCCCACCGAAAAUGGCGUUGAUGCCCCUGUAUCCGACAACACAGUUCUGCGGAAGCUUCUUCGUAUACCAAGAUACUUUGAUCCUGGGGAAACUAUAUUGGAGACUUGCUUUAACUGUGGUGAGGAAGGUCAUGUAGCUGUGAACUGCCCAAUGGAGAAGCGGAAGAAGCCUUGCUUCGUUUGUGGAUUGUUCGGACACAAUGCGAAGCAGUGCACGCAGGGUCAAGAGUGUUUCAUCUGCAAAAAAGGAGGUCAUAUGGCGAAAGAUUGCCCUGAUAAGCACACAAAGAAUACUCAGCAGUACACCACAUUGUGUUUGAGAUGCGGAGAAACCGGCCACGAUAUGUUUGGAUGUUCCAAUGAUUAUCCACCAGAUGAUGUCAAGGAAAUAAAAUGCUAUGUGUGUAACCAGAAUGGUCACCUCUGUUGCACCGACUUCUCUGAUAGUUGUUCAAAAGAAGUUACUUGUUAUAACUGUGCCCAAUCUGGUCAUACUGGUUUGGGAUGUGCCAAGCAACGUAGGGAGACAAGUGUUGCGACAACUCCGACCUUGUGCUACAAAUGUGGCGAAGAUGGUCACUUCGCACGUGGCUGCACAAAUAGUGCUAAGCCCGGCCGGUUCAAAGGCGAGUUGUCGUCGCAUGGUCGUAGAAAGGACAAAUGGAAAAAUGACUCUGGCCCUAGAUCAGCUCCUCAUGGAUCUCACAAAAGAAAAAGCCCCCUAUUCGAGGAUAGAUGGGAGACACCUCGUGGUAAAUCCAGAGCUAGGGGUGGUUGGAUUCCUGAGGACCAUGACGAUCUUCCAUCCAAGAAGUACAAAGGAAUUGGGUGGGACUCCCAAUCUACUCCUAAGAAGCCCUACAAUAAUCACCACCAUCGCUCCUCUGGCGGUGACUAUUCUACUCCUCAAGGACAAGAUUUUUCAUGGCACAACUCGCAAUAUUCACCAAGUGCGAGAAAACACGGCUCGUCUUCGUCAAGAUUCGCCAGCAACACCCAUCACCGCUUUGAAAGAAGUUAGGCUGGAGCUUACUUUUGGUUUUGUUGUUCGUUCCAUAGUAGAUCUCUUAGGGAUGUACUCUGCCUGUAAUACCGUUUCCCUGAAAGGGCUGUUUUCUGUAUCUUCAGAGUUGUAUACGUUGUGUCCAUUCCUGGUCUGGGCAUGCUUUGUGUUGCACUUCAAUGGCUGCCUACUGCAAACACGGCAUGUCACUCUGCACUCUGCACUCUGCGCCGCUAUACAGCGUAAGUUUCUGUGUACUUAUACAAGAGCGAUAUAUUAUUUCACA